This 477-nucleotide ribosomal RNA is filed under the name uncultured anaerobic ammonium-oxidizing bacterium. RNAcentral's name for it is "bacterial SSU rRNA". It matches the Rfam family "Bacterial small subunit ribosomal RNA", at positions 363 to 830 of the family's 1533-position model. The record is from RNAcentral.
UUUUCGCAAUGCCCGAAAGGGUGACGAAGCGACGCCGCGUGGGUGAGGAAGGCCUUCGGGUUGUAAAGCCCUGUCAGGAGUUAAGAAAUGUAAGUGUGCUAAUACCGCAUUUACUUGACGAAGGCUCCAAAGGAAGCCACGGCUAACUCUGUGCCAGCAGCCGCGGUAAUACAGAGGUGGCAAGCGUUGUUCGGAAUUAUUGGGCGUAAAGAGCACGUAGGUGGGUUUGUAAGUCAGAUGUGAAAGCCUUCUGUUCAACGGAAGAAUUGCAUCUGAAACUGCGAGUCUUGAGUGUAGGAGGGGAGAAUGGAACUUCUGGUGGAGCGGUGAAAUGCGUAGAUAUCAGAAGGAACGCCGGCAGCGAAAGCGAUUCUCUGGCCUAUUACUGACACUCAGUGUGCGAAAGCUAGGGGAGCAAACGGGAUUAGAUACCCCGGUAGUCCUAGCCGUAAACGAUGGGCACUAAGUAGAGGGGUU